UACGUAGGGUGCGAGCGUUGUCCGGAAUUAUUGGGCGUAAAGAGCUCGUAGGCGGUGUGUCGCGUCGGCCGUGAAAACCUGCAGCUUAACUGUGGGCUUGCGGUCGAUACGGGCAUCACUGGAGUUCGGCAGGGGAGACUGGAAUUCCUGGUGUAGCGGUGAAAUGCGCAGAUAUCAGGAGGAACACCGGUGGCGAAGGCGGGUCUCUGGGCCGAUACUGACGCUGAGGAGCGAAAGCGUGGGGAGCGAACAGG
This 254-nucleotide ribosomal RNA is filed under the name uncultured bacterium. RNAcentral describes it as "partial 16S ribosomal RNA". It matches the Rfam family "Bacterial small subunit ribosomal RNA", at positions 524 to 776 of the family's 1533-position model. The record is from RNAcentral.